This 487-nucleotide ribosomal RNA is filed under the name Escherichia coli. RNAcentral's name for it is "bacterial SSU rRNA". It matches the Rfam family "Bacterial small subunit ribosomal RNA", at positions 238 to 717 of the family's 1533-position model. Lineage: Bacteria; Pseudomonadati; Pseudomonadota; Gammaproteobacteria; Enterobacterales; Enterobacteriaceae. The record is from RNAcentral.
GGAUUAGCUAGUAGGUGGGGUAACGGCUCACCUAGGCGACGAUCCCUAGCUGGUCUGAGAGGAUGACCAGCCACACUGGAACUGAGACACGGUCCAGACUCCUACGGGAGGCAGCAGUGGGGAAUAUUGCACAAUGGGCGCAAGCCUGAUGCAGCCAUGCCGCGUGUAUGAAGAAGGCCUUCGGGUUGUAAAGUACUUUCAGCGGGGAGGAAGGGAGUAAAGUUAAUACCUUUGCUCAUUGACGUUACCCGCAGAAGAAGCACCGGCUAACUCCGUGCCAGCAGCCGCGGUAAUACGGAGGGUGCAAGCGUUAAUCGGAAUUACUGGGCGUAAAGCGCACGCAGGCGGUUUGUUAAGUCAGAUGUGAAAUCCCCGGGCUCAACCUGGGAACUGCAUCUGAUACUGGCAAGCUUGAGUCUCGUAGAGGGGGGUAGAAUUCCAGGUGUAGCGGUGAAAUGCGUAGAGAUCUGGAGGAAUACCGGUGGCG